This 612-nucleotide ribosomal RNA is filed under the name uncultured bacterium. RNAcentral's name for it is "bacterial SSU rRNA". It matches the Rfam family "Bacterial small subunit ribosomal RNA", at positions 57 to 658 of the family's 1533-position model. The record is from RNAcentral.
GCAAGUCGAGCGGAAACGAAGAGGUGCUUGCACCUCUGGCGUCGAGCGGCGGACGGGUGAGUAAUGCUUGGGAAUAUGCCUUAUGGUGGGGGACAACAGUUGGAAACGACUGCUAAUACCGCAUAAUGUCUACGGACCAAAGUGGGGGACCUUCGGGCCUCACGCCAUAAGAUUAGCCCAAGUGGGAUUAGCUAGUUGGUGAGGUAAUGGCUCACCAAGGCGACGAUCCCUAGCUGGUUUGAGAGGAUGAUCAGCCACACUGGGACUGAGACACGGCCCAGACUCCUACGGGAGGCAGCAGUGGGGAAUAUUGCACAAUGGGCGCAAGCUUGAUGCAGCCAUGCCGCGUGUGUGAAGAAGGCCUUCGGGUUGUAAAGCACUUUCAGUAAGGAGGAAAGGUUAAGUGUUAAUAGCACUUAGCUGUGACGUUACUUACAGAAGAAGCACCGGCUAACUCCGUGCCAGCAGCCGCGGUAAUACGGAGGGUGCGAGCGUUAAUCGGAAUUACUGGGCGUAAAGCGUACGCAGGCGGUUUGUUAAGCGAGAUGUGAAAGCCCCGGGCUCAAACUGGGAACUGCAUUUCGAACUGGCAAACUAGAGUGUGAUAGAGGG